AUUGAACGCUGGCGGCAGGCCUAACACAUGCAAGUCGAACGAGGGGCGGACUGGUGAGUAAUGUAUUGGAAACUGCCUAAUGGAGGGGUAUCACUACUGGCAAUGGUAGAUACUACCGCAUAACACCCGAUGUGCCCAGAGUGGAUUAGCUAGUUGGUGGGGUAAAGGCUCACCAAGGCGACGAUCCCGAGCUGGUCGGAGAGGAAGACCGGCCAAACUGGAACUGAGACACGGUCCAGACGCCUACGGGAGGCAGAAGUGGGGAAUAUUGCACAAUGGGCGAAAGCCUGAGUCAGCCAUGCCGCGUGUAUGAAGAAGGGCGUCGGUUUGUAAAGUACUUUCAGCGGGGAGGCGUUAUCCACAUAAGAAGCACCGGCUAACUCCGGGCCAGCAGCCGCGGUAAUAC
RNAcentral lists this ribosomal RNA (406 nucleotides) under uncultured bacterium. Its description in RNAcentral is "partial 16S ribosomal RNA". It matches the Rfam family "Bacterial small subunit ribosomal RNA", at positions 30 to 526 of the family's 1533-position model. The record is from RNAcentral.